CCAAAAUUCAAAAUUUGAACAUUUGGACAACAUGAUUGUAUGGGGGCUUGUCCAUUAACUAAUGUGCCCGUGCCCGUGCCCUAAACAAGGGGUUGCCCUCUACACUUGGGCAAAAAAUUAAAACUCUUUUCGACAUAGCUAGCCUUUCUCUCUAUCGUCGACAACUUUCUUCCUUGGCCUUUCUCUCUAUCGUCGACAACUUUCUUCCUUGGCCUUUCUCUCGACAACUUGUAUUCAACAAAAUCAUUCCUCUACAAACCGCAACCCCGACCACGACCACGACCAUCACUCUUAGACAAACCCCGACCCCGACCGCAACCAUCACUCUUCGACAAUGCUAAGAUUAGAGCCAACUUUGCUUCAAGGGUUCUUCAAAUCGCUUCCCUUCCCAUCCCAUCGCUUCAGGGUUAUUCCCUUCCCAUUGCUGUAGGGUUCUUCAGAUCUAUUGGCGGUGGUGAUUGUUGCUUUAUUUGGUUGCUUGUGGCUUCGAUUGGCUUCGGCGGUAGUGUUGGAUUCGAUUUGGCAAUGGUUGUAGCUUUGCAGGCGGUGGUUGGUCUCGUGAGAGUUUGAAAUUGAGUUCUGGCGACUGUAGAUCUGAAUCGAACUCUCAAAUCAAUUUUGUUAUGAGGUAGCAUAGUAGGUUUGUCUGGGUUUUGAGAUUGGAAAUCUAAAUUUCUUUGAUUUCCCCAGAAUUUUAUCUCUGCUACCAUUUCUGUACAACAUUCUCCAUUGGCUAAUCAUACCAACCCACACAAUGACUUUAGGUACCUUUCCUUCAACAACGACGAGGCCAGAUCCCCAUUCAUUCUUUGCUGAAUUCGAAAUCCUCAAUUUUCUAGGGUUUCAAUUUUCAACCUCAAUUUCCUGUUGUUCUGAUAUCUGUUUUGUUUGAUAGUUUGUACUGAUUUGGUUCGCGGUGCCAAGGACAAGAGGCUUAGGGUGAAGGGACCAGUGAGGAUGCCUACCAAGGUUCUGCACAUUACCACCAGGAAGUCUCCCUGUGGAGAAGACAAAGUUUGACCCUGUGAGUAUAGGCUGUAUAGCUAUUUACUUGCUGCCAACUGGGAAUGUUUUGUGCCUUCAUUGGAUAUCGUGUGCAGAAAUAUGACAUUUCUACCUGGGAGAACCUCUUACGGUGUAAAAUUUCUCCUUAACAGGAGUUCUGGAGGUGUAUGGGACGUUGCUGCAUAAAUUGUUUACCUCUGAGCCUUGAUGCUCGAUGAUUUCACUCUCUUUAUGGCGUGCAAGUGAAAACAUAAAUGUGGUUUUGCUCAUAUUUUCAUAAGAGCAUUGCAGAUUAGCUUGGAGAGAGCUUGGACAACAACUUCAACUUCAACUGUUAUUUGGCUAUGUCAAGAAUGCCAAACUUUGAUUGAAGACCAUGAUAAGAUAAAGCUUCUCAGCAAUGCGAGGAAUAACUUGAAUACAACCUUAAAGCAGUAAGGCAGCGGUGGAUUCUGAGAAUGCUGUAGCUGCCGUAAAUGUAAGUACUUGGAGCACCAAAUGAGAGUAUUUGGCUGCUGUAUAAUUAGCACAACAACUUCCUGUAUUUGGGGCACUGCAAUAUCCUAGAACUCUUUCAAUGAGGAAGCCCCAUUACUGUUCUUUAGGCCAUGGAGAGUGCCAAUGUUAUGAAGUGAAGCCUACUUUUGAAGACAAAAGCUACGAAGAGCAGGAGAUCAGUGAAUAGAACUUGACUUGGAUUUUUUUCUGUUCUCUUAUUUUGUAGAUACAAUUGCAUUAUCAGACCCAUUUAGAUUGUUAUGGGAUUAUAACAACUAUCUAUUAUGAUUAAUUUUAUGUUCUUUUGGUCAAUUUCA
Long non-coding RNA from Rosa rugosa (rugosa rose), 1820 nucleotides. RefSeq lists it as uncharacterized. The transcript is spliced from 7 exons. NCBI's taxonomy places the organism in Eukaryota, Viridiplantae, Streptophyta, Magnoliopsida, Rosales, Rosaceae. The record is from RefSeq and is a predicted model, not a curated record.